ACUACCUUCUAUUCUACGUACUUUGAUUACGCAAUCCUAAAGGGCGGUGAAUUUCGAAUUCGAACUUUCAUCGCAGCAGUCAGACAACUGUGAAACCAAAACAAAAACAAAAACGGCAAACGGUUAUGGAAGUUAAUGUUUCUGCAGAAAAUAAUUCAUUGUACAUUCGUAUACAUUGGAAUGAGAGAGCGUUAAGCGAUCGCAGAUAGUUACUGAUAAAGCACUAGACAAAAUUAAACGAACUGUAAUGUGUGUACUUCGCAGUCGUCGUUCCUCUUGAGGAAACAAAGCUAUUCGGAGCUUCUAACCUUGGAUUAAAAUUGCACAGUUGACUGGUGGAAUAUUCAAUGUAUAUUAGACUGAGCAUGUGCAACACGAAGAAAUCUCAGGAAACGGGAGUGCAAAUAAUGCGGAUGAAAUGUACUGCGAUCUGGUCCCAUCAACUGCCAACUAAUCAGUUGUUCCUGUCCUAAAGGAUGAAAAUGUGCAACAGGAAAAGAAGCAAAACCUUGAUGCUCUCACUCAUGUUUUGAAAAAACAUAUGAGAUUGAUUCGGUCGAGGUUGCGAUUAAAUCUGUCUAUUUGCACGAGCAAUGUUUAGAUGUAGAAUGUAGGAUGUAGGAAAUUACUGUGUAAAAGAUAAUGUAUGAUUGAAGACAGGUUUAUAAAUAAGAAUUAAUUAUCAACAACAUAAUGUCAUUAUCCCUUAUCAUUAUCUCUUACAAAUA
Molecule: long non-coding RNA, 728 nt
Organism: Toxorhynchites rutilus septentrionalis
Lineage: Eukaryota; Metazoa; Arthropoda; Insecta; Diptera; Culicidae
Exons: 5
Source: RefSeq, a predicted model, not a curated record